GAGCGACGCCGGAAGUCCCGCCUCCAAGCCGCGGUGGCAGGAAACGCCCUCCCCCGUGGUUGUUGGCCCGACGCAGCCGCGUACUCUCCGCGCAGACUUCUGGGUAAUGCAGUUCGACCCUGGGCAUCCUUGGGUGAGCACCGCUUAGGAGCAGGUGUUUUGCAGUGUUUGUUUUAGCCAAAAUAAAACCCUGGGAAAAUGUUGACUUGGAGAAGGUCUCAAGAAAUUUAAGAACAAAAGGAAAUUUUUUAAAAAGAAAAACACAUCAGAAGAAAUGAUUAGGAGUCACAUGUGAAGAUGGCACUACUACAUGAUCACCAUCAUGCUUUAGAGAAAAUAAUAAAUGAACAAAUAUAUCAAAAUAAAGAAAUAUGAGAGUCAUAUAGACAUUUUAAAUGACAUGAAAAACGCUUAGUUUUUAAAAUUUCAUUUCUUUGGUUUAGUUUUUAAAAUCAAACCUUUAAGCGUUCUUAAGUGAAAUGACAUCAGCAAGAUGACUUCACAUAUUCCCACCACCCAUGAGCACACUGAAUAAACACGAUGAAUUCCCUCUAGGAGAAAUCUAGAAGACCCGAGUCUCUCCUCUGUAUCUGUAACUCUAGAACUGCUCGACAGGCGCAGGGCGCCGAGGUGUAGAAUCUCUUAAGUAAAGCCCUUGAGAAGGACGAUCUCGGGCCUCAAGUCUCACUCAGGAGCCGUUGAGCGAGAUGGAGUCUUCCAAACGACACCGAGGCGGGCUCCCUCACUCCAUGCCCGCUGUUUUCUUGCUCUGUUCCAGGAAAGCUGUGCCUGUCACACAUUCCAGUCUACAAGGCAGAGUCUCCUUCUGCGGAGCCGGAAGCCCCGCCCUUCGGGAAAUGCUCCUUUCCGGUGUCUCCCUGGGCUGUGCGCUGGCGGAAGCACAGGGGAACGGGCUUGGGCGCCCACACGCUGCGUCUGUUGCGUUCUCCAUGGCAACGGCCAAGCGGCACUGCUGGGAGAGACCUGAAGAGGAAAUUACGUUCCAGAGCUCCGAUAGAGGUCGAGUUUUGCUUCCUAAAAGAACUGUAAAAUUUCCGUGGCUAUCGAGGGGCACAGAAGACCCCUUCCCUGGCCUUCCUGCCUGUUUUGCCCUGGGCAAGCUGCUUCGCAAUUCCGAGAAGUGAGGACCGAGAGUUAUCGUGAAAACAGAAAGAGCUUUACCUUGGGAAUAGCACUGGUACACAUUACUUUAAUUUGGUGUUUACAAAGUUGUGGUUCCAGAAGGUGGCGAGGGCCUUUAGUACCAGUUACUUGGGAUGCUGAGAUGGGAGAAUCGCUAGAGCCCAAGAGUUGGAGGACAGCCUGGACAAUUUAGCGAGGCUCCUAUCUCAAAAUAUAUGAAUCAAAAAAAGAAAGAAACUGUAGUACGCAAGACUUGGGAAGUGGACAAAAAUACAGGCUUUCUGAACCCACUACUAACUCAAAAACUCUGGGUAUGGGGCCGUGAGUUCCAGCUCCUACUCCAUCCUCUUCACUAGUCCACUGCAAGCAGUUGUCCUGUCUUUGGUCGGGAAAAGCUGAACAAGUAAACCCAGUCUUAUCAGUCGUUUACUUAAAUUCACCAUUUUUUUCUGUCAUAGCCAGAAUGAAGUCAAACUGUUUGCCAGUGCCUCCAUGAUUUUCUCCUGCAUUCUCUGCCUCCUUCAUUUUCCAACCAGAUCCCUUUGUUUCUCUGAAAUUUCCUCCCAGAGGAAUUUUACCAGAGACUCUUCUAGUAUCUUCGGUUUUCAGCUUCUUUUUAUGUCCUCUGUUCUCAAAUGUAGCAACUGGAUGCUUUUGUGAAACAUGGUCUUCCUGCUCACUUCAACCCACAAAAUACAAUUAAUCUUCACUACUCUAGUGCUGAUUAGUUUCCUCCACCCUGAAGUCCAGGACUGACCUGAAAUUCUGUCUUCCUAGAAGGCCAGUUCCUUGGAAUUUUCCUUCUUUCAAUGAUAUUAUCAAUAAGUCCACAGCCUUUCUUUAAUAUGCCAAAACUGGUUUCCACAGCCUUUCCUUAAUUUGCCAAAGGUGGUUACCUAAAGAACCUUAAGGAUUAUUAGCUUUCCUCAUUAGGCCACCAUCAUGGGAAUUUGCUGAACUGGACUGUGAUGUUUUAGGCCAACAAUCAGUGAUAAUUGAAAGGAGAAUAAUAAUGAUAACAGGAAUGCAUUUGAUAGUAAGUACAAAAGUCUCCCCUUGUACAGUGGGGAUAGGUUCCAAGAACUCCAGUAGAUGUGUCAUUAAUUUUUACACCAAACUGGGUUCUUCUUCCUGCUUGAAACUGUAGAACCAAUAAUAAGAUGGAGCACUGAUUGAUCAGUGAAGGACACUUAUUCGUGGCCAAUAGGAGAAGCAAGGGAGAAAGGCUCACACUUCAGCUUCUACCUAUUGCAGAGCAGAAGGAAUAAAAAAUAGGUAGAAGGGGAAAAUAAAUGAAGGCCAAGGAAACAAAACAUUUAAGUUCUGCAUACAUUUCCAGGCCUGUCAUUCCCUAAGCUAGUCUCUUUUCCAGGUCUGUUACUACCAACUUUAUGGAAAAUCUAAAAUCUAUCUAUGUACUAUACUAACUCCCAAAUGAAUAGAUUGAAAGAUAUAUUGAAAAACUUAUAAUUUAGAGUGUAAGAAUUUCCAAUGUGGGGAUUCUGGCUAUGGAAAUGCACAAGGGACUACUUUAUUUUCAGAGAUAUGAAAAAUUGUGCCCUAUAUGUGUAAUAAGAAUUGUAAUGCAAAAUAAACUAAUUUUUAAAAAUGUUCAAGGCAGCAUUCCUCUGGUGAGCAAACUCCCAGAGGGUAACAAGGUGCUCUGUUUUCCACAGCUGGAAUAUUCUACAGUUUCUCCAUGGAACUAGUAAGAUGACUAAUUCAUGUUCAAUGCUUAGCUGCUAUGGUAAUGUCCUUCAUGAGGAAGCUUUGUGCUAGAAUCUUAUCAGCCUCGACCUUAAUCUCAAUACUCAGCUUCUGGGAAUAAAAGACCACAUCAGCCUAAGGAUAAUCUUGAAAUAAUUAGAUGGAUAUCAUUCCCACAUACACAUGCCCUCAACAAGUUACCUUUAAAAGAGCCAGGAACUACAAAAAUCCAUCUUUCAUUUGAGACAGCCAUGAAUGUGAAUCUACUUUCCUAAAUAAACCUCUAUGCCUCCCA
Ictidomys tridecemlineatus (thirteen-lined ground squirrel) is the source of this 3145-nucleotide non-coding RNA. NCBI's taxonomy places the organism in Eukaryota, Metazoa, Chordata, Mammalia, Rodentia, Sciuridae. The record is from RefSeq and is a predicted model, not a curated record.